This is a non-coding RNA of Saimiri boliviensis boliviensis (Bolivian squirrel monkey), 489 nucleotides long. NCBI's taxonomy places the organism in Eukaryota, Metazoa, Chordata, Mammalia, Primates, Cebidae. The record is from RefSeq and is a predicted model, not a curated record.
CUAUACUUUUGCUCACCGAUGCUAAAUAAUAUAUAGGUAUUGAUUCCACAGCCAUGGAAUUGAGAAAAGCCAGGAAGUGAUGCUGAAAAAAUAAAUGAAACUAUGGUAUUAUUUGGAACAAAAUUUUCAAGGAAUCACUUAUUUUACCAAUUCCAAAAGAAAGAGGAAAGUAAAGACUCAGAAAAUGUCAGAUCCAUGAUCCGUUGCUCUGAAUGCCGUUUCCCCCGAUGAACCUUAAAGAUAAAUAUGCAACCCUUUAUAUUCUCCAGUGAUGUCAACAGCCUAAGCUGAAUUUUAAAUAUCUAGCCAAUGAAAAAGUGAAUGGAUUUUUAGGGCAACUCAGGUUCAAAGCGUCAAAUCACCUUUAUUCCUAUUUUAAGGAACAUGACUCAUAACCUGUGCAGAAAAUUAAAAAAUACUAUAGCAAUCACAGCGUAUGUUUAACCUAACAAUUAAAAAUAUAUAACUGAAAUUACAAAAAAAAAAAAA